Molecule: unclassified non-coding RNA, 222 nt
Filed under: uncultured Actinomycetes bacterium
Lineage: Bacteria; Bacillati; Actinomycetota; Actinomycetes
Description: uncultured actinobacterium contains 16S-23S intergenic spacer region
Source: RNAcentral
UCCGAGUUGUCCCCGGCAGUCUCCUUAGAGUCCCCGGCAUUACCCGCUGGCAACUAAGGACAGGGGUUGCGCUCGUUGCGGCACUUAAGCCAACACCUCACGGCACGAGCUGACGACAGCCAUGCAGCACCUGUGCUGGCCCCUUACGGAGCCCUGCUUUCACGGGGUUUAACCAGCAUGUCAAGCCCAGGUAAGGUGGGGAUGACGUUUGAGAGUACGUCC